AUGCCAUCCAAAACUUACCAACCAACGAACCAAACAGCCGCCGUUAUCGCCUACCUCAAGCGGCCGUUGCACGCCACUGCCACCAACGACGCUCCUGAUAGCGACGCACCUCUCUCUCUCUCAUCGGCGCCGUACGGAAUUCGAUAUACCGAGAAAGUGAAGUGCGCAUUUGGAUCUCAGAAAGCGAUAUACAUUUUGAUUUCUUCCUCUCAAAUUUUCAACUCGCCACAGGGGUAA
Vicia faba (fava bean) is the source of this 237-nucleotide non-coding RNA. NCBI's taxonomy places the organism in Eukaryota, Viridiplantae, Streptophyta, Magnoliopsida, Fabales, Fabaceae. The record is from the annotation of a GenBank genome assembly.